This is a non-coding RNA of Prinia subflava (tawny-flanked prinia), 3625 nucleotides long. Lineage: Eukaryota; Metazoa; Chordata; Aves; Passeriformes; Cisticolidae. The record is from the annotation of a RefSeq genome assembly.
CGGCUGCCGCGGAGCCGGGGCCGGGCACGAUGGCGGCAGGGCCGGGGCAGUGGCUGCUGGCCUUGGCCUUGGCCGUGUGGCCCGCAGGUGGCCUUUCUCAGGUGAAGACAGAGGCCUCAGGCCCUACAGUAGGGAGGAUCUCGGAGUCUGUCUGGCUCACCUGCCAUGUCUCUGGUGUGGCCAUCACUGACAGCAACUACGCGUGGGACUGGAUCCGGCAGACUCCUGGCAAAGCUCUGCAGCACAUGGUGAUGCAGUAUCCUUUCACACAGCUCCAGCACAUCGCUUCAUCCUUCCAGACCCGAGUCAACAGCUCUGCAGACCCCUCCAGGAACCAGCUGUGGCUGCAACUGCUCUCGCCAGCAGCUGCAGACACAGCCACCUAUUUCUGCAGCAUGAGAGAACUUGAAAAAGGCACAGUGCUUGAAACGCAGGCAGGGCCGGGGCAGAAUUGGAAGGAGGGGCUUUAAUCUAGCCAGGUCUCUUGUGGUUGCUGCAAAGCAAGGCUCUUCCCAGACUCCUCAAGACUAGUCUGGGCUGUCUUUUGCAGAAACAGAUGCAGAAGUGCAACAGCAAUAACAACGGCAGUCUCCCACAAGCAAACCCCAAACCAUGAAUGUGUUGUUAACUCCUUCCUUCCUUCUCAUAAUCUCCCACAGGCAGAAAGAACCAGGGGAAGAGGGUGGAUUUGUUUUAGAGAAUAUGAUGGCUUUGGUUUAAGUCGAGUUAAUUUUCUUCAUAGUAGCUGGAAUGGGACUGUGCUUUGAAUCUGUGCUAGAAAGAGUGUUGGUAAUUCAGGAAUGUUUUAGUUAUUGCUGAGCAGUGCUUACAUGGAGUCAAGGCCUCUUCUGCUCCUCAUUCCACCCACCAGUGAGUAGCUGAGUGUGCACAAAAUUUGGGAGGGAACACAGCUGGUUCAGCUGACCCCAGCUGACCAAAGGAGUCAACCAGGCCAUAGGACAUCAUGCUCAGCAUAUUAAGAUGGGGAAGAAAAAGGAAGGGGGUAGACACUGAGCAUUUUUAUUUCCAUGUAACCACUAUGUGUGAUGGAGCUCUGCUUUUUUGGAUUAGGGUGGAUGCUUGCGUAACAAUUGGAAGUAGGGAAUGAAUUCCUUGCUUUGUUUUGCUUGCACAUGCAGUGUUUGCUUUACUUCUUAAACUCCUAAGUUAUUUAUUAAACCUACAAGUUUUCUCACUUUUACCCUUCCAAUUCUCUGCCUCAUCCAAGAAGGGGGGAAAGAGCAAGCAGCUGUGUGGUGUUUAGUGGUGCAUCAGUGCUUAAAUUGUGACAGAGAAACACAAUGGGCACUGAAAGAGCUGAAGUUUUAACAUAGGAAGGUGGAAUUCAACUGCAUUUGGAUAUUUCAUGAUGUUUAGGGAGUCUCACAAUAACACUGCAGUAACACAUAACAACAGUCAAUUAAUUGUAUCUGAGGAAAAAGUGGCACUUCACUGCUAAGAUGGACUUUCCCAGGACUUGAUGAAAAACUCCUUCCCUGCACUUCCAGCUCUGGCUCCAUGUGAAUAAACACAGGUGUUCUUCUUCUGAGCACUGAGCAUUCAUUUCUUUAUUUAGAAGUGUAGGCUUUCAUGGAAGACACAAGGAGACCCAUGCAAAUGUGUCCAUGGCCUUGUGUUCCUGAGCAUAGUGCCUGAGGCAUCCCAUCCAGGAGCUACAGAUGCCAGAGGGUCAGGCAGUUGUCCCCAGGCUUUGCUCCAAUUCCCACCUUUGGCUCAAUGGAAGAAUUGCUGUAGUGGAUUAAUGUCAGAGCCCUUCAACACAGCACUGCCAGAAGUGACAAACACAAAGAUAAUACCACUUGAUUUCUUCUGUCACCACCCUCUUUUCUUGUAGGUGUCAACAGCCCAGGGGUUUCCUCAAGGAGAUAUUCCAGCUCACUUCAAAUCACUGCUUUUAUCUGUCCUGUCCAUAGUGGAUGGACAGUAACUUACAGUUUCACCUUCAAUAUCUAAUUUUCUGUGAUCACCUGUAGUGUCUCCAAGGAAUCCAUGAGCAGGUGUUAUUUUUUGUGUAGAGCAUCCUCUGGAGCAGUGUUAGAUGUUCAGAAGUAGAACAGUGUAGAGAAAGAUGAAAAUAAAAGCCAGCACCUCAAAGACAUGAAAGAAGAGGCAUCACCUGCCACUGGAAAAACCCCAAGUGUUUUUGUAGAACCAUCUAGCACAGUGUGAACUACGUACCACAGCGACUGAAAACGACUGAACCACCACACACAAACUGUCUCCCUCCCUUCUCUUGAAGGGGAAACAUGGUGGCCCUACCUCGUCUGUUUUUCCCCAGACAAUUCUGUGCACAUGCACAAAUUUGAUUCCCAGGAUUACUCAUACAACAGAAAAACUUUUUUUUUCCCCCAAGACCAAUUUUUUCAACAUUCAGCCCAAGAUCUUGGCUUUUGCAAACAGCUCAUUUUAGACAUUUGAUUGCCAGAUCCAGUUAAACAGUUGGGCAAGAUCCUUCUGUAUUGAGAUGUUUCCAUUUGUUGCAAAAUGUGGAAGAUGUAAACUUUUCUUAAGAAAGCAUGAUGUUUGAUCUUUGUAUACUUUUAAGCCUAAUCAACAAGAAGGAAGACAGUCUGUGAAACAGAGCAGCCAACAAGCCCUACGUUACGUCCAAGUGUUAGACAAAUAACUUGUUCCUAGCAUUGCCUUGUUAAGGUUUAGGGCUUGACAUCUGUUCUGGUUCCUGCAAGAACAGGGUUAAUUUUUGCAGUAGCAAGUAGGGUGCAUGGCUAAAAUAGGGAUGUUAUUCUGUAAUACCUCUCCUCAUUUCUGGGGGUAGGGAAAGGGACUCUUCCUCUCUUCACAGGUGUUCCUUCCAGUCCCAAAAACAGGGGAAGGCAUCCUGUAUUUGUUUGCUGUUGUGAGGUUUUUUUGUAAAUAGUUGAUUUUUCACUCUUUUUUAUUAAUAUUGUUGCUGUUACUGUUUGUUUUCUUAUCUCAUUGCUGUUCCCACUAAAUUGUUCUCUUUUCAACCCGUCUUCUUCACCUUUUGUGGCUCCAGUUUUUAACUCCAUCCCACUGCAGAGGGAAGGGGAAGGGAAAAAAGAGCAGUGGGGAAGUGAAAGAGAGCAGCAGUGGUUUUUUUGGAGGAUCUUGGUUGGGGAGUGCCGUUCCUUAAGCCAUGGCAACAUGCUUCAGAGAUUUCAAUCCUAAUGGGAGAGAAAUAUGUACCACUGAUAGUGGACACAAACAAUCCAGAAUUUCUGAGCCACAAGAAUAUCUGGCAGAACUCCCAUGAUAAGGAAGAAACUAACAAAGCCAAACUCCGCAGUUGUGUUAAAAUCAGCUCCAAGUGGGUAAAAGAUAAUUCUGUCAGGGGGAGAUCACAGCCACCAACACACAGACCACUGACCCAAGAAACCCCCUGACCCAAAAGAAGAGAAAGACUGAGCAUAUGGACUAAUCAGCAUGAGAAACAAGAGAAUGAUUAACCAAUAGAAUAUAGACUAUUAAUAAAUGAGAGAACUGUGUUCUUGUAGCCAAUGAACACUAAUUCCUUUGUUUGGUAAAAUGCAUAAAUGCUAAAAGGUUUUCAUAGUUGAUGUGCUUGAGUUGUGGAAUGCUACGGAGCACCCAGGGUUGAGCAACUCUGAAAUAAAUAAUUAAU